Molecule: ribosomal RNA, 484 nt
Filed under: uncultured bacterium
Lineage: Bacteria
Description: partial 16S ribosomal RNA
Rfam family: Bacterial small subunit ribosomal RNA
Source: RNAcentral
AUUGAACGCUGGCGGCAUGCCUAACACAUGCAAGUCGAGCGGAUGAAGGGGGCUUGCGCCUGGAUGCAGCUGCGGACGGGUGGGUAAUGCCUAGGAAUCUGCCUGGUCUUUGAGGAUAGCGUCCGGAAACGGGCGCGAAUACCGCAUACGUCCUGAUGUAGAAAGGGGGGGAUCUUCAGACCUCACCCUAUCAGCUGAGCCUAGGUCGGAUUAGCUAGUUGGUGGGGUAAAGGCCUACCAAGGCGACGAUCCGUAACUGGCCUGAGAGGAUGAUCAGUCACACUGGAACUGAGACACGGUCCAGACUCCUACGGGAGGCAGCAGUGGGGAAUAUUGGACAAUGGGCGAAAGCCUGAUCCAGCAAUGCCGCGUGUGUGAAGAAGGUCUUCGGAUUGUAAAGCACUUUAAGUUGGGAGGAAGGGAAGUAAGUUAAUACCUUGCUGUUUUGACGUUACCAAAAGAAUAAGCAACGGCUAACUUCGUG